Long non-coding RNA from Callorhinchus milii (elephant shark), 2348 nucleotides. RefSeq lists it as uncharacterized. NCBI's taxonomy places the organism in Eukaryota, Metazoa, Chordata, Chondrichthyes, Chimaeriformes, Callorhinchidae. The record is from RefSeq and is a predicted model, not a curated record. The transcript has 5 exons.
AAACACAGGUUUCGGUGUUGCCCGCAGACUCAGGUUUCCGAAACAUACCACUUGUAACUUGCAGCCGGGAAGGCGAUUCGAGUUGCAAACGACUUUCUGUUCAAAGUUCCCUUUGUUUAUUUUUAAAGCAACGCCUGAAGAUCGAAAGCUGAGACAGACUCUGGUCAGACACACCGCAGGAAUAAGGGUGCAAUCGGCGUUUAAUUCCUCUCACUGAGCGGAAUUAUUCUUUCGAGGCGAAACUGGCAAUUUUAAGUGACGCUCUGCGAAACGGAUCGACGCUGCGCUCUCUCUCCCUCUCUCUCUCUCUCACUCUCUCUGCUCUGGGACCGCGGGCGGCAGGUGUUAAAGCAGAAGAAGCGGAAAGCAUAUAUUUCGAAAAGGUGCUCUGUGAGCAAUCUCUGACCGCCUCGGCUCGUUUUGGAGCGGAGGGGGUGUUGUCGAUCGGUACCACAGGUAGAGUUGCAAUUGCAUUAGUUGGUGACCUUGCUUUGGGGUUACAGUGCAAUGGCGAGUUCAGGAAGUUGUUACUGAACGAUGCACGAACUGACAUGUGCUGAAUUAACAGCCCGCAGUUUGCUGAGCAAUGGAAACGCCAACUGGAGAACAUCUUUUGCGCUUUAGGUCGGGAUUGCACCACGAAUUCUAACUCGGAAAGUUUAACUGCUGCAGAAGUUGGAUACAUCUCCCAUUCCUUCCCCGGUUUGACGAACCUUUCAGACCACUCGUAAUAUAAUCCUCGUCUCCUUCUAACCAAAAACCUCAUAGUUUAGAAAAUUCAACAUCAUCGUUAAAAGUUAUUCCCCCCCCAAAAAAAAACCCAAAACUAUUUGCACUCCCCUUUCGCCUUUAUUUUGCAAAUUGAUUCGUGGAAAAUCGUCGGUGUUUGGUUCAAUAAACGUGAUGGAAAAAACACGAGGCUUUUGCACUGAACAGUGUUCCUGCAGAAGUGGCUUCACAACUUAACAACAACAACAAAAAAAAGAACAGCGAAUGAUUUGCCGUUUGCACUCGAUUUGCAGCGUUCGGUAGUUUUAACCAAAUUUAGAAAGCGACUGUAUUUUUCAAUAUUUUCCAAUCUCUGCCGAAUAGGUGUCUUUAAAAAAAACUUCCGCUGGAAAUCUCUGCAUCAUUUCGAAGGCACUUUGCAGACUCAUAGCUUUUGUGCAAAAAAACACACCCACAAAAACCCAGCCUCGAGUAACGUGUGCUUUAAAAAGUACAGACAUAUUUCACUUCAAGUUGCAGGGGAUGAUUUCGGAAUCGCCAUUCAGCAAUUAAAAUCUGCAUUUCCCCAUCUGCUCCAGUACUGUUCAAUACUUGCUUUUUAAUUUUUUUUUAAAAAAAACUCUCACUUCUAAACAUUCUCGCAGAAAAUAAUUGAGCGUAGAAAAUAACCGUUUGCAAAGGGACGUCGAGAAUGAGAAUUGCCUUGUGUUUUCUUUUAUAUUUAUACAGUGGGGCGAUAUGUUUCUGGGACAGCAUUUGAUGUAAUGCUUUGCAGAGAUACCCUUUUGAAUGACAGAUUCGCUGCAGAAGCCAAAUACUAACUCCUUGCAACAUGUAACGGUGCUUCCACUGCCCGGGAAUAUUGCUCUCCUACCUUUUGCCAAACAUAUAUGUUUUUUUUAAAAAAAAACUCAAAAGGUUUGAAGCUGUCUGCGGGAGGGAAUUUGAUGCAACAGCAGUUUUUUUUAAAAAAAAUAUUUGCUAUGAUUUCUGUGACACACCUAUUCUCUUGAUCGGAAAUCAGAUUGGACUCAAAUUAUAUACAUAUCAGAACAGAAACAAUGAACAACUCGAGGCAUUUAAAAAAAAUAACGACUCUGUGUUUUCCUCCAUGUUAGUGCAUACAUGUUAAAUGUGUCAUGCGAGGCAGAUUGAUGGUGAGAAGCUGCUCAUCGCCCGGAACGACACAAAGGCACUUACUUCCCAACAAGGACGAAUAGGGAAAAUAUAAUAGAAAGUCUCAUCUUUAGGGAUGGAUCAAAAAUGCUUAGAAACAGAGACUUGGUUGGGAUCAAGUCCAGAAGCCUACUCACUCAAGCAGGUCAGAGGGCAGCAAAAUAAAGAGGAAUACAAUUGGAAAUAUGUAGAAAGUAAAGAUCAGACACAGUGACCCAUUCCUCUGUUCUCCAGAUCUCUCUCAACCAAAACCUUUCUUCUCAAAACCUCAUAAAAACACAUGAUUCUUUGACUGAGCAUUUGGUCAACAUCUUUAAAUCGCAAAUCACAAAUGCAAAAGCAUUGAGGUAUUUUUCUAGGUGAGAGGUAUUACACGAGGGUAAACUGUUGAUGGACAGAUAUUCUUAAACCAAUUAUUCCUAUUAAAUGAUGGGCCAGUAACC